AUGGGUUUUCGUUUCCCUAAAAUGAUCAGAAAGACAUCAUUUUCUGCAAACCGAGCAAUUUCAAAAGUUGUAGACGUGCCAAAGGGAUACCUUGCAGUGUAUGUUGGAGAAGAAAUGAAGCGGUUUGUGAUCCCCAUUUCAUACUUGAACCAACCAUCAUUUCAAAACUUGUUGAGUCAAGCUGAGGAAGAGUUUGGAUAUGAUCAUCCAAUGGGUGGCCUCACCAUUCCUUGCACCGAAGAUGUCUUUCAACACAUUACUUCUUGCUUGAAUAGGCUAUGA
Non-coding RNA from Vicia faba (fava bean), 282 nucleotides. The record is from the annotation of a GenBank genome assembly. NCBI's taxonomy places the organism in Eukaryota, Viridiplantae, Streptophyta, Magnoliopsida, Fabales, Fabaceae.